UACGAAGGGAGCUAGCGUUGUUCGGAAUCACUGGGCGUAAAGCGCACGUAGGCGGACGUGUCAGUCAGGGGUGAAAUCCCGGAGCUCAACUUCGGAACUGCCUUUGAUACAGCACGUCUUGAGUCCGAUAGAGGUGGGUGGAAUUCCUAGUGUAGAGGUGAAAUUCGUAGAUAUUAGGAAGAACACCAGUGGCGAAGGCGGCUCACUGGCCCGGUACUGACGCUGAGGCGCGAAAGCGUGGGGAGCAAACAGG
Molecule: ribosomal RNA, 253 nt
Filed under: uncultured bacterium
Lineage: Bacteria
Description: partial 16S ribosomal RNA
Rfam family: Bacterial small subunit ribosomal RNA
Source: RNAcentral